AAAGAUUAAGCCAUGCAUGUCUAAGUAUAAGCAACCUAUACAGUGUAACUGCGAAUGGCUCAUUAAAUCAGUUAUCGUUUAUUUGAUAGUACCUUACUACUUGGAUAACCGUGGUAAUUCUAGAGCUAAUACAUGCUAAAAACCCCGACCUCUGGAAGGGGUGUAUUUAUUAGAUAAAAAACCAAUGCCUUCGGGCUCCUUGGUGAUUCAUGAUAACUUUACGAAUCGCAUGGCCUUGUGCCGGCGAUGGUUCAUUCAAAUUUCUGCCCUAUCAACUUUCGAUGGUAGGAUAGUGGCCUACCAUGGUUU
Molecule: ribosomal RNA, 309 nt
Filed under: uncultured fungus
Lineage: Eukaryota; Fungi
Description: SSU rRNA
Rfam family: Eukaryotic small subunit ribosomal RNA
Source: RNAcentral